CUGAAGAAAACAGGCAUGGCGACCUUCUCAAUAAGUAUCUCUACCUAUCUGGACGUGUAGACAUGAAGCAAAUUGAGAAGACAAUUCAAUACCUGAUAGGAUCAGGAAUGGUGAGAUUCUCCUUUCCUAUUACUAAAUUCUAUAUAAGAGGACAAGCUUCUUCUGUUGUCUAUGCUGUGCACUUGAUUUUUCAGUAUUUAUGAGUUUGUUGUUUUCUUAGGAUCCUAAAACAGAAAACAACCCCUACCUUGGUUUCAUCUACACUUCAUUCCAAGAGAGGGCAACAUUUAUCUCCCAUGGGAACACAGCCAGACAUGCCAAGGAUUAUGGAGACUUGAAACUUGCACAGAUAUGUGGCAUCAUUGCCUCUGAUGAGAAACGCCAUGAAACUGCCUACACCAAGAUUGUGGAGAAGCUCUUUGAAAUUGAUCCAGAUGGCACUGUCAUGGCUUUAGCUGAUAUGAUGAAGAAGAAAAUAUCAAUGCCCGCCCAUUUAAUGUAUGAUGGCCGGGAUGAUAACCUAUUUGAACACUUCUCAACAGUUGCCCAGCGGCUCGGAGUCUACACUGCAAAGGACUAUGCUGACAUUUUGGAAUUUCUGGUGGGUAGAUGGAACAUAGAAAAGUUGACGGGUCUUUCGGGAGAGGGCCGUAAAGCUCAAGAUUUUGUUUGUGGUUUGCCUCCAAGAAUUAGAAGGUUGGAGGAGAGAGCUCAGGGAA
This 719-nucleotide long non-coding RNA is filed under the name Citrus maxima (pomelo). Its description in RNAcentral is "long non-coding RNA (CMAX_LNC000972)". The record is from RNAcentral. Lineage: Eukaryota; Viridiplantae; Streptophyta; Magnoliopsida; Sapindales; Rutaceae.